GGUCGGGUAGCCGAGUGGUUCAGGCAAAGAUCCUGCAAAGUCUUUCACAGGUUGGUUCGAUUCCCCUCCCGACCU
RNAcentral lists this transfer RNA (75 nucleotides) under Flavihumibacter soli. Its description in RNAcentral is "tRNA-Cys". It matches the Rfam family "tRNA". Rfam says of the family: Transfer RNA (tRNA) molecules are approximately 80 nucleotides in length. Their secondary structure includes four short double-helical elements and three loops (D, anti-codon, and T loops). Further hydrogen bonds mediate the characteristic L-shaped molecular structure. tRNAs have two regions of fundamental functional importance: the anti-codon, which is responsible for specific mRNA codon recognition, and the 3' end, to which the tRNAs corresponding amino acid is attached (by aminoacyl-tRNA synthetases). tRNAs cope with the degeneracy of the genetic code in two manners: having more than one tRNA (with a specific anti-codon) for a particular amino acid; and 'wobble' base-pairing, i.e. permitting non-standard base-pairing at the 3rd anti-codon position. The record is from RNAcentral. Lineage: Bacteria; Pseudomonadati; Bacteroidota; Chitinophagia; Chitinophagales; Chitinophagaceae.